CGUGUAGGCGGCCAAGCAGGUCCGUUGUGAAAACUGGAGGCUUAACCUCCAGACGUCGACGGAAACCGCGUGGCUAGAGUCCGGAAGAGGAGAGUGGAAUUCCUGGUGUAGCGGUGAAAUGCGCAGAUAUCAGGAAGAACACCAAUGGCGAAGGCAGCUCUCUGGGACGGUACUGACGCUGAGACGCGAAAGCGUGGGGAGCGAACA
This 207-nucleotide ribosomal RNA is filed under the name uncultured bacterium. Its description in RNAcentral is "partial 16S ribosomal RNA". It matches the Rfam family "Bacterial small subunit ribosomal RNA", at positions 568 to 774 of the family's 1533-position model. The record is from RNAcentral.